AUCUUUGCUCUUGGGGCAAUGACGCAGUCAGUGAUUAGGCUAUACAGAGGUUCGACAAUUGCUGGUUGAAAACUAUUUCCAAUGCCCCCGUAGCCGUAGGCCUUGGCUUGUUCUGGACUUCGAGAAUUUCUUAAAGGGUCAAAGGAAU
Thalictrum thalictroides is the source of this 148-nucleotide non-coding RNA. The record is from the annotation of a GenBank genome assembly. Lineage: Eukaryota; Viridiplantae; Streptophyta; Magnoliopsida; Ranunculales; Ranunculaceae.